GUGUCAGCAGCCGCGGUAAUACGUAGGGAGCAAGCGUUGUCCGGAAUCAUUGGGCGUAAAGCGCGCGUAGGUGGCCCAGUAAGUCCGUUCUGAAAGUCACAGGCUCAACCUGUGAAAGCGGAUGGAUACUGCUGGGCUAGAGUCCGGAAGAGGCGAGUGGAAUUCCUGGUGUAGCGGUGGAAUGCGCAGAUAUCAGGAGGAACACCAACGGCGAAGGCAGCUCGCUGGGACGGUACUGACACUGAGGCGCGAAAGCGUGGGGAGCGAACAGGAUUAGAUACCCUCGUAGUCC
RNAcentral lists this ribosomal RNA (292 nucleotides) under uncultured bacterium. RNAcentral describes it as "partial 16S ribosomal RNA". It matches the Rfam family "Bacterial small subunit ribosomal RNA", at positions 505 to 796 of the family's 1533-position model. The record is from RNAcentral.